This 19-nucleotide small nuclear RNA is filed under the name Arabidopsis thaliana (thale cress). RNAcentral's name for it is "snRNA_06388". The record is from RNAcentral. Lineage: Eukaryota; Viridiplantae; Streptophyta; Magnoliopsida; Brassicales; Brassicaceae.
UCGGGAGCUUUCCCCGGGC